Long non-coding RNA from Corapipo altera (White-ruffed manakin), 3699 nucleotides. RefSeq lists it as uncharacterized. NCBI's taxonomy places the organism in Eukaryota, Metazoa, Chordata, Aves, Passeriformes, Pipridae. The record is from RefSeq and is a predicted model, not a curated record. The transcript is spliced from 4 exons.
UGCUGCUGCACACCUCGGGUUUCAUACCAUGUUACACUCCUUGGAUAAACUCCCUUCAAAACAAACCAUGUUCUGAAUUAAUGAAAAAAGAUGCAUUAAGAAAUUUCUGUAAACAUACACGAAGCCAAAAAUAUCUGAACAGCUUCUGUGUUUACUUGCAAAAAAAUCUCACCAUAUGGUUACUGAUCCUUUGUGCAGAAUGACAGGCCUUUUAAUCAGGUGACAUUUACUGGUUGUAGUGUAAACUGUUGUUUUAUUUCUGGCUGUAUUUAAUAGAAAUUUCCCAUUAUAUUUACUCUAAUUUUCUUCAGUAAGAAUUCUCUUCAGGAAGAACCAGGUAGUUUGCUGUUUUCUGUUACUCUGAAGUUAGAUUGCCAAGGUUGUGUUUUGAUGUAUGAACUAAAAAGCACUUGGCAAGAAAAUAACAGAGAUGCAACUUAACAUAGUUUAGGUAUUUUAAAGAAGGAUUUGAAUGUGGCUAUGUGGCACCAUUAAAGCUGAAAAAUAAUUCUCAAAAUAGACCUGACUUGGUCCAUUUAGUCAUUGUUUUACUUGGCACAUCUGCUAGAUGUAAUCUGUGAUAUUCCAGUCAUUUAGGUAGGUGUGAUGGGGCCAGUCAUUUAGGUAGGUGUGAGCUGCAAGUUGUUGUGCUGGGAUUCCAAAUUUCCCAGAAAAAGCAACACAGAAAGGGAAAACAGGGAGUUGGGCUUGUUGCUUUAGACUGAACCAGAGCUUCAUAAGCAUGAAAGUUAAGACAGGGUUUGUUCACUUGUAAAACUGAGGGAUGUUGAAUGAAUGUAUUACUGAAAAUCAGACUGAUAGCUAUUUUUCACAAGUUACUCUAAAGCAUGUGCUUUUCCUAGCAGAGUUUAAACCUAUUUUUUGCUCAUCACAUUAAAGCUCAUGUUAUUCUACCUAAAAGAGGAAAAAAAAAAGUGCUUUUACCAGCUUGCCUAACCAUGGAUGAUAUUUCAGGAAAAGGUCUUAAAAGGUUAAUGAGUGUAUCCAGUCUCAUAUCACAUAUAAUAUAUAGAUCAUUGCAUUCACUAAUCUAUUAAUUUUCUACUUGGACCUCCAUCAGUGACCUCAAAUAUUUACAUGUUCACUCUGCCUUUGAGGCAGAAAGUCUAAUCUUCACUGUUGCUUUGAUACAUUUGAAUAGAAGAAUUAUGGUGUGGUAUAUGAGACAUAGAUAAUCCCCACUCUAAACAGAACACUUGAUCUUCCCAUGCAUUUCUCUGGAAUAUUGGGGUAAAUUUUCAGUGACUGUUACUACACCAAACUUAAUCCUAAAGAAAAUUGCUUGAAUUUUACUAGUCAUUUUUUCCUCUGUGUGAUCAAUUCUGUACAGAUGUUGAUGCAGUGAGGAAGUGUUCAUAGGAAAAAGGGAAUAAUUAAUCCCAUACAGUAAUUAAUAUAUCUUCAGUAUUGCCAAUUGCUUAGAAAUACUGGAUGAUGUUAUUGGGUUUAGAUUUUCUGCUUUAUAGUUGUAAAAAGGAUAUAGGUAUAUAUAAUAUAGAGGUAACUGAUAAAUUCCUUCUCAAAUCUAAAGCAGUAUGAUAAAUUUCACAACUCUGUCAAAUGGAUUUGCUGUAAGUAAAACAGACUCUAUAGCAUACCCCUUGUUGUUCAAACCUUUCAUCAAUUAAUUUUAACUAUUUAAAUUGAAAUAUUUCUCAGUGAAGUACAUGGCUCUUCUUCAAAGGCAACGUUGCUCUUCUUCAAAGGCACUUACUUCCUAAUAUAUUGGAUGACUGCUGUGAAAAUACAGUGCAUUUAACUGCUAUCAUGUGUAUGAAGUAUUAUAUAGAGCAGGGGGAUAUAUUUAAAAGGUGUUGUCUGUCAGCUAUUUAGAUCCCUAUUUACAGGUAGAUAGGCCUACCAGACACACCUAAAAUGUGAAUUUCUUUCUUCAAUACUAACCAAAACUAACUGAUAUGUACAAUUUUAAUUUAAGUAGUGUUAAAAUAGGGAUCAGCCAAACCAUUUUUUAAGGAAAAAAAGUUAUUUUUUUUUCCUCUUCCUGCACUCAGAAUCUGUUGUCAAGCCACCCAAGCCUUGGUCUUAGAGCCACUUGCUCGUAACCAAUGCAUAAAUACUAUGAAACAUCCUCUGACAGUGGAAUUAGACACAUCAUUCAACAGUUAAACCGUGAUGGAGACAUUAAACUGUUGUGUCUCAUUCCAUUACCAAGAUAUCUGAGUGAGUGUUCAGGUUUUAGAUAAUCAUAAGUGUUGGAUUUUUAUAUUGCUGCAACAAAUUUUUUUAUUCUGCAGCUGUGAUGAAUCAAAUGAUGCAGCCUCAUCUGUAUGUCCAGACUGGGUUUUAGAAGCUGGUGGUUUAUGCAAUCAUUUUCUGUUUUGUUUAAUCUAGAUUGGCUACAUGGAUGUAGAAGAGCCCAGGUUCUGAGCACAGCCCUUUAAAGGUGUAAUAGUUAAAUUUUCAGAAUAUAGAAAUAUACAAUACCAUUAAUUAAAGUAUUAAAACAAAGGCAACUAAACCUGGCAAAAGGAAAUGCAGUUUCAUACAGAGAAUGUACUGCAAUAGAAAAAACAGACAUACAGCAUUCAAAUCAGAAAUGGAAUGUAUGGAUUUAUAACUAUCACUAAUAUCUCUCCAUAUAUAUAUAAAAUUUUAUCACAGAUUUAUAACAGACUGUGAAUAACAAGAUUAAGAAAAUAAUACCUUGAAAAGAAAUAAAUCCAAGCCUUCACCGAAAUAUCAAGAAACUCUUCAAGGUAUGAUAGCUGAAAAUGCAUUUUUCCUUCAGAAAAUGGGGCUAAAACUACGAAAAUGGAAGGAAGUUUUAUAGUAGAAUACAUUAGCCAGACUAGAAAGAUCGUUAGACAUUUUUCAGAAACUAAACAUGAAUUUUUACUUUACCAGCAGUGGCCAGGAAAUUUUCCUGACAUACUAGAAAAACAUCUGCAGAAACGAAUAUUUUAGGUAUACAAUAUGAUUUUUAAAAUUAAUUGUUGAACCCUAUUCCCAGGGAUGUGUGUGGGGGUGUGGUACAGUGGGAAGCAGAUUAAAAAGAGAAUCCUUUAUCCAUACAUAGCCCUGAUAAUUAUGGCUAAACGCAGGAUUUACAGCUGAACAUAUUGUUUGGUUUUGUUUUGGCAGCAAAUCCACAUGAUGAUGUAUUAUGUUGAUCUUCUGAUAGCUAGGAUUACCUAUGAACUGCUGGCUCAGAACAGAGCUCAUUUCUCUGAAACAGCAAGCACUGACCACUUCCUGAGGCAGUCUUCUAGAUGAGCUGAGGAAUGCAGAACCCAAGAAGUCAUUGGUGCAGUAAUGUAAAGAGCUCGGAUCUCCCAAAACUCAGCCGCUUCAUUUGAAUUCAAAACACUGGACAACCUUGCAAUGUUGGUAACUUGACUGCUAUGUUUUUCUAAUGGAGGAAUCACAUCAAAAGCACAUACACUCUACAAAUUCAAAUGGAGCAGCAUGACAGCAAACAGCAAGGUACUGUUUUGUGUUGCACUUGGCCAGAAAACUUUUCUUGAAAGCUACAGACAAUCCAUGGCUCGUUUCACCCACCCUGAGAAUGAAACAGACCCUGCACUGAGAGAACAUAAUACUAUGUUAGGAUGAAGAAGGACAUCCAUUUGGUAAAACAGAAUUAACUAUUGACACUACUGAGUAACAUUGUUCUAGUCUGAAACCUACAGCCGUUAAACAUGAAACCGUGGUAAAGUC